This 74-nucleotide transfer RNA is filed under the name Candidatus Omnitrophota bacterium. RNAcentral's name for it is "Candidatus Omnitrophica bacterium tRNA-Val". It matches the Rfam family "tRNA". From Rfam's summary of the family: Transfer RNA (tRNA) molecules are approximately 80 nucleotides in length. Their secondary structure includes four short double-helical elements and three loops (D, anti-codon, and T loops). Lineage: Bacteria; Pseudomonadati; Candidatus Omnitrophota. The record is from RNAcentral.
GGGCGAUUAGCUCAGUUGGCUAGAGCACUACCUUGACAUGGUAGGGGUCACAGGUUCAAGUCCUGUAUCGCCCA